Molecule: long non-coding RNA, 237 nt
Organism: Cyprinus carpio (common carp)
Lineage: Eukaryota; Metazoa; Chordata; Actinopteri; Cypriniformes; Cyprinidae
Exons: 3
Source: RefSeq, a predicted model, not a curated record
GACGCUGAGAGAGGAUCCGUUCACUGUCGCGCUUGCUCGGGCUGGCGGAGAAACACCGGCGCCAGCGCGAGGCGGGAUUCUGCACGAGCGGGAGCGAUGAGGAGGGAGACUUCACAGGCUUUGGAGUGGAUGGUCAAUGGUCCACGAGUUCUGAACAAGGCUCAUCAAGCAGACCCCUUAAACUGGCACACUCACAGGUGAAACCACCUUUGGUGCCACAUCUAAAAUCAUCACUAU